RNAcentral lists this ribosomal RNA (518 nucleotides) under Xylariales sp. MS34. Its description in RNAcentral is "eukaryotic LSU rRNA". The stretch from base 176 to 329 matches the Rfam family "5.8S ribosomal RNA". Lineage: Eukaryota; Fungi; Ascomycota; Sordariomycetes; Xylariales. The record is from RNAcentral.
AAAGAGUUCUAUAACUCCCAAACCCAUGUGAACAUACCUAACGUUGCCUCGGCAGGUCGCGCCUACCUCGUAGUCUUACCCUGUAAGACUUACCCGGGAGGUGCGGGUAAGCCUGCCGGCGGCCCACCAAACUCUGUUUGAUAUUGAAUUCUGAACCUAUAACUAAAUAAGUUAAAACUUUCAACAACGGAUCUCUUGGUUCUGGCAUCGAUGAAGAACGCAGCGAAAUGCGAUAAGUAAUGUGAAUUGCAGAAUUCAGUGAAUCAUCGAAUCUUUGAACGCAUAUUGCGCCCAUUAGUAUUCUAGUGGGCAGGACCGUUCGAGCGUCAUUUCGACCCUUAAGCCUUAGUUGCUUAGUGUUGGGAGCCUACGGUAACGUAGCUCCUCAAAGUUAGUGGCGGAGUUGGUUCACACUCUAGACGUAGUAAUUUUUUAUCUCGCCUAUUAGUUGGACUGAUCCCCUGCCGUAAAACCCCAACUUCUCAAGGUUGACCUCGAAUCGGUUCAGACAAACUCGC